AACGAACGCUGGCGGCAUGCCUAACACAUGCAAGUCGAACGAGACCUUCGGGUCUAGUGGCGCACGGGUGCGUAACGCGUGGGAAUCUGCCCUUAGGUUCGGAAUAACUUCGGGAAACUGAAGCUAAUACCGGAUGAUGACGUAAGUCCAAAGAUUUAUCGCCUAAGGAUGAGCCCGCGUUGGAUUAGCUAGUUGGUGAGGUAAAGGCUCACCAAGGCGACGAUCCAUAGCUGGUCUGAGAGGAUGAUCAGCCACACUGGGACUGAGACACGGCCCAGACUCCUACGGGAGGCAGCAGUGGGGAAUAUUGGACAAUGGGCGAAAGCCUGAUCCAGCAAUGCCGCGUGAGUGAUGAAGGCCUUAGGGUUGUAAAGCUCUUUUACCCGGGAUGAUAAUGACAGUACCGGGAGAAUAAGCUCCGGCUAACUCCGUGCCAGCAGCCGCGGUAAUGUCACAUGUG
This 460-nucleotide ribosomal RNA is filed under the name uncultured bacterium. RNAcentral describes it as "bacterial SSU rRNA". It matches the Rfam family "Bacterial small subunit ribosomal RNA", at positions 29 to 533 of the family's 1533-position model. The record is from RNAcentral.